This 225-nucleotide long non-coding RNA is filed under the name Pelobates cultripes (western spadefoot toad). Lineage: Eukaryota; Metazoa; Chordata; Amphibia; Anura; Pelobatidae. The record is from RNAcentral.
CUGGGCUAUCUCCCCUGAUAUAGGGAGAGGGGAGGGUGGCCACAUGGCCAGCAGGCCAGUUCUUGGGUGAGACCUGGCUGUUCGCAACGCACAGAGCCCAUGUGGCUCUGAAAAAUGGCCGCCGCGGCUCCAACAAAAUGGCUGCCGUGGCUGCAAAAACAGAGCGCGGCCUACCGCGUGGUGAUCGUGCGGCACUGCAAGCAGCCAGGGGCCACGGGGAGCAGG